Molecule: ribosomal RNA, 133 nt
Filed under: Shouchella rhizosphaerae
Lineage: Bacteria; Bacillati; Bacillota; Bacilli; Caryophanales; Bacillaceae
Source: RNAcentral
GCUUAUCUGAAGUAGAGUCCGGUGACAAUGGCAAAGAGGUCACACCCGUUCCCAUGCCGAACACGGCCGUUAAGCUCUUUUGCGCCGAUGGUAGUUGGAGGCUUCCUCCCGCGAGAGUAGGACGUUGCCGGGC